RNAcentral lists this ribosomal RNA (503 nucleotides) under uncultured bacterium. Its description in RNAcentral is "partial 16S ribosomal RNA". It matches the Rfam family "Bacterial small subunit ribosomal RNA", at positions 30 to 523 of the family's 1533-position model. The record is from RNAcentral.
AUUGUACGCUGGCGGCAGGCUUAACACAUGCAAGUCGAGCGGGGUGAUGGUGCUUGCACUAUCACUUAGCGGCGGAUGGGUGAGUAAUGCUUAGGAAUCUGCCUAUUAGUGGGGGACAACAUCUCGAAAGGGAUGCUAAUACCGCAUACGUCCUACGGGAGAAAGCAGGGGAUCACUUGUGACCUUGCGCUAAUAGAUGAGCCUAAGUCGGAUUAGCUAGUUGGGGGGGUAAAGGCCUACCAAGGCGACGAUCUGUAGCGGGUCUGAGAGGAUGAUCGGCCACACUGGGACUGAGACACGGCCCAGACUCCUACGGGAGGCAGCAGUGGGGAAUAUUGGACAAUGGGGGGAACCCUGAUCUAGCCAAGCCGCGUGUGUGAAGAAGGCCUUAUGGUUGUAAAGCACUUUAAGCGAGGAGGAGGCUCUUUUGGUUAAUACCCAAGAUGAGUGGACGUUACUCGCAGAAUAAGCACCGGCUAACUCUGUGCCAGCAGCCGCCGUAA